This 107-nucleotide small nuclear RNA is filed under the name Choloepus hoffmanni (Hoffmann's two-fingered sloth). The record is from RNAcentral. Lineage: Eukaryota; Metazoa; Chordata; Mammalia; Pilosa; Megalonychidae.
GUGCUCUCUUUGACAGCACACAUACUAAAAUUGGAACGAUACAGAGAAGAUUAGGAUGGUCCCUGCACAAGGAUGACACGCAAGUUCGUGAAGCAUUCCAUAUUUUU